This 400-nucleotide ribosomal RNA is filed under the name uncultured bacterium. RNAcentral's name for it is "bacterial SSU rRNA". It matches the Rfam family "Bacterial small subunit ribosomal RNA", at positions 356 to 773 of the family's 1533-position model. The record is from RNAcentral.
GGGGAAUAUUGGACAAUGGGCGAAAGCCUGAUCCAGCCAUGCCGCGUGAGUGAUGAAGGCCCUAGGGUUGUAAAGCUCUUUCACCGGUGAAGAUAAUGACGGUAGCCGGAGAAGAAGCCCCGGCUAACUUCGUGCCAGCAGCCGCGGUAAUACGAAGGGGGCUAGCGUUGUUCGGAAUUACUGGGCGUAAAGCGCACGUAGGCGGAUUGUUAAGUGAGGGGUGAAAUCCCAGGGCUCAACCCUGGAACUGCCUCUCAUACUGGCAAUCUCGAGUUCGAGAGAGGUGAGUGGAAUUCCGAGUGUAGAGGUGAAAUUCGUAGAUAUUCGGAGGAACACCAGUGGCGAAGGCGGCUCACUGGCUCGAAACUGACGCUGAGGUGCGAAAGCGUGGGGAGCAAAC